UGGGGAAUAUUGCACAAUGGGCGAAAGCCUGAUGCAGCAACGCCGCGUGGAGGAUGAAGGCCUUCGGGUUGUAAACUCUUGUCUUCUGGGACGAUAAUGACGGUACCAGAGGAGGAAGCCACGGCUAACUACGUGCCAGCAGCCGCGGUAAUACGGAGGUGGCAAGCGUUGUCCGGAUUUACUGGGCGUAAAGGAUGCGUAGGCGGAUAUUUAAGUGGGAUGUGAAAUACCCGGGCUCAACCUGGGUGCUGCAUUCCAAACUGGAUAUCUGGAGUGCGGGAGAGGAAAGUGGAAUUCCUAGUGUAGCGGUGAAAUGCGUAGAGAUUAGGAAGAACACCAGUGGCGAAGGCGACUUUCUGGACCGUAACUGACGCUGAGGCAUGAAAGCGUGGGGAGCAAACA
Molecule: ribosomal RNA, 402 nt
Filed under: uncultured bacterium
Lineage: Bacteria
Description: bacterial SSU rRNA
Rfam family: Bacterial small subunit ribosomal RNA
Source: RNAcentral